This is a long non-coding RNA of Corvus hawaiiensis (hawaiian crow), 2794 nucleotides long. RefSeq lists it as uncharacterized. The record is from RefSeq and is a predicted model, not a curated record. NCBI's taxonomy places the organism in Eukaryota, Metazoa, Chordata, Aves, Passeriformes, Corvidae. The transcript has 3 exons.
GGGUGCCGCGCUGUCCCGGGGCCAUGCUCGGUGCUGCUCUCUCGGCAGCCCGCGACUGAAUUCAAAACGAAGACCACUUACAGCAGGCUCCGGGCUGGCGUCCUUGCGGGGCCGUGUCUCGGGAGGCAGCGCUGGGAGGCGAAAGUACCCCAGCAGCAGAUGGUUGGCCAAAGUGUGGGGGUAAAGGAAGCGUAGUGUUGCUGUCAGCUUGUAGUGCAGAGUAUUUUCCCAUCCCCAAUUGGUCUUGCAGGGACUUCUUGAAGAAAGGAUGGAGUCUAUGCAGCUAGUUACUGUUUCCAGUGGACCGGGUUGCCCCUUCAAAUCACGAAAAGUUCUAGCAUGCAUUAGGCACUUUGAGAAGCCAGGACUGUCACCCUGAACAGCUGCAGUGACUCUACCGCUCUUGAAAACAUGUCGAAGUGCCAAGGGGUGAAAACUGCUCUUGAGGUAAGCUCACAAUGAGCAUGACUACAGGAAAUUGAUGAUUUUAACAGCUGGUUUGCAAUAGGCCAAUCCUGGAUAUCCACGACUACUGAAACGAGUCCAUCUCUGUCUCGCCGUGCCUUCAGGAAGCACUAGAUGGCAGUACGUCAGUUGUUUAAAUGUAAUUUUAAUUAAUGAGCUGUAGCCGGUUUUUUCUGAGAAAGGGGCGUGUUGGUUGAUUGACCUGGUUAGGACUAUCUCGCAAUAUUGCUGUUAGAGUGGGGAAUAUGAUGGAGGAGAAGUAUAUGGACUUUGAUGGGCUUGCAUCUAAUAGAUAUAGUAUUAUACUUUAGAGUUAUUAUCUGUGAAAAAAAUGACUUUUGCUUCAUUUUUCAAGAAAACAAUGUUUUGACAAGUUAAACAAGUAUGACAGAACAUAACAAUAAAAAAAAGUAUUUUCUACACUCUUAUGAAGUAAAAUAAUCCGGGAAAAAACCCCAAUGACUGCUUAUGACAUAUUGUUUGCUAAAAAACUAAAUGUUGCAAAUAAGUCCAUUUUUGUUUUCUGGUGUAGACUGUACACAAUAAUAGAGCAUAACUUAUUUCAGUAGUGUAUAAUUCUGUGUUGAGGGUGAAACUUCUGAUCAGCUUUGCAUGUUGCUGAUUGAGAUGGUCUGACUUUUCCCAAGACAUCCUUGCUGCAGGUUUCUGCCGCUACCUUUGCAUCAUGUCUAAGUGAUCACAUGGCUACAAGGUGAAAUCUGAUAAUUUUUGAUGGGCUUUCUUCUGGUUCAGUGAAUGGAACCCACUCAGAAUAGAGACCUGACUGCCUUAUCCAGUGUACAGGAAGCAACACAAGUCUGCAGAUACCAGAAAGUGACUCUUUCACAGUCAUCUCAGGGAUACACUAUAUCCAAACCUUUGAAAUCCAAACCUUUGCAGUAUUGGGCCUUAGAUCUGCUCAUCAAGACAUCUACUUUGCAUCUUUGUAGUUUCCAGUACAAAUAUGAAUCAUAGCCAUGACCUACAUUUGCCUGCAUUCGUAACUCUUACUUGAGCAAGGACUUCCUUUUGGAAGCUGUAAUCUAGCAGGAACACAGCACUGACCACAGGGACCUGGCUUCUCCAUCAAGUAGAAUUCAAAAGCAUCAUACUAUUUGCUUUUUAUGUGGCCCUUCUUUUCCAGAAAUAGGAUUAGAGUACUUAAAGUCUGUUUACUAGACUGUGUGUCAUAUCAAGUCCUUUUGGAAAUUAUGCUAUAUCUGGUUUUGAACACUGAAAAACCAGUUCUUAGGUGCUAAUUUUCAUCAUCAUCAUCAUAAGGUCCAUGAAUUUUACAGACUAAAUCUUAUCCCUUUACCUAUUUUCAUUAAAUAUGUGCCAUUCUUAGUGCUCCAGCAAUUGCUCACACAGGAGAAUAAAUGCUAGAAAAGACUAAAUAUUUUCAUCCAUGCAUAAUUGUAUUGAAGUGAUUUUGGUCACAGUACAAUUUCUCUUUGAUGGCAGCUGCUUUGCUAUUCCUUAUUUCACAAUCCCAAUUUACAUGUUUUAUUUUUUCUCUCUCUGCCUACUCUCCAGUACAUAUUCCUCUGCAAUCUGGUCCCUUUCUCAGUCUGCUGCAUGCACUUUCUUGCAUUUCCUUUUCACAUUACUUUUCAGUGUAAUUCUUCUCAACUGCAUUCAUGUCCUUAGCUCAAUGGUUCUCUGAAACGUUAAAUAUUCCAUGCUUCUGAAGCAAGAAAAAGGAGUUUCUUCCACUAGAGUGAGGCCUUUUAAGAUUAGGCAACGCUGGAUUAAUGCUGAUAUUAGUGCUAGUGUCGUAGACAAAAGAAUGUAGUAGUAGCUAAUGUCUGUGUUGAACCUAAGUCCUGUCAUGAAUUCCAGAAAGGUCCUUGUGGAUUUGUUUAGAUACAGGGGCCUGGGUUGUAUAAAGGUCUGCUGCUGGAUGGUAAUGUUACUGGGGGUGAAAUGCACAGGAGAAAAAAUGCCUGUGUGCCCUCAUGUAUUUUUGAUAAAUGCAUACUUAUUUUUGCAUAGAUUUUGUACACAACGUACUCACAACUCAAUUCAGGAAGAUACAAACAUGGAUAACCUAACAGCUAACAAAGUGAAGAAGCACAUUGUUUUUUUUUUUGAAGCAAUAGGAGUACAGAGAGGUACUUAAGUAUUCAAAUCCAGCCCCCCUCCUUUCCUCUUCCCUGGUCAUGGAAAGAAUCCCAGCCUCAGCAGCAUGUCCUCAUAAGCAUUCUACCCAAAUCCUUCAGAAGCUAUGACUUCUAAUAUCUUAAACAAGAGUAAAUGUUCUUACCACCUUAUUUUUUGUCUUUUUUGGAGAUGUCUUCCUAACCUAUGUUUGUCGAUUAAAAAUAAG